UUAGUGGCGGACGGGUGAGUAACGCGUGGAUAACCUGCCGUAUACAGGGGGAUAACGCUUAGAAAUAGGUGCUAAUACCGCAUAAGCGCACGGUUCCGCAUGGAACAGUGUGAAAAACUCCGGUGGUAUACGAUGGAUCCGCGUCUGAUUAGCCAGUUGGCGGGGUAACGGCCCACCAAAGCGACGAUCAGUAGCCGGCCUGAGAGGGUGAACGGCCACAUUGGGACUGAGACACGGCCCAAACUCCUACGGAAGGCAGCAG
This 262-nucleotide ribosomal RNA is filed under the name uncultured bacterium. RNAcentral's name for it is "partial 16S ribosomal RNA". It matches the Rfam family "Bacterial small subunit ribosomal RNA", at positions 92 to 354 of the family's 1533-position model. The record is from RNAcentral.